RNAcentral lists this ribosomal RNA (610 nucleotides) under uncultured bacterium. RNAcentral's name for it is "bacterial SSU rRNA". It matches the Rfam family "Bacterial small subunit ribosomal RNA", at positions 56 to 654 of the family's 1533-position model. The record is from RNAcentral.
UGCAGUCGAGCGAGAACCAGUCCUUCGGGAUUGGGGAAAGCGGCGAACGGGUGAGUAACACGUGAGUAAUCUGCCCUCGGCACCGGGAUAGCCCGGGGAAACCCGGAUUAAUACUGGAUAGCCUUUCGAGCCUUUGGGCUCGUCAGAAAAGGUGGCUUCGGCAUCCGGCUGAGGAGGAGCUCGCGGCGGAUUAGCUUGUUGGCGGGGUAAUGGCCCACCAAGGCGACGAUCCGUAGCUGGUCUGAGAGGACGAUCAGCCACACUGGGACUGAGACACGGCCCAGACUCCUACGGGAGGCAGCAGUGGGGAAUCUUGCGCAAUGGGCGAAAGCCUGACGCAGCGACGCCGCGUGCGGGAAGAAGGCCUUCGGGUUGUAAACCGCUUUCAGGAGGGACGAAGCCACUCGGGCUAAUAGCCCAGAGGGUGACGGUACCUCCAGAAGAAGCCCCGGCUAACUACGUGCCAGCAGCCGCGGUAAUACGUAGGGGGCAAGCGUUGUCCGGAUUUAUUGGGCGUAAAGCGCGUGUAGGCGGCCAGGUAGGUCGGCUGUGAAAACUCGAGGCUCAACCUCGAGCUGUCGGCCGAAACCAUCUGGCUAGAGUCCGGAAG